GCUGGGCACAUUGGUAUGUUAGUACAGGUACUCAGAAGGCUCUGAGGCAGAAGAAUCACUUAAGCCCAGGAGUUCUGGGCUGUAGUGCACCAUGCUGAUAGGACGUCCACAUGAAGUUCAGCUUCAAUAUAGUGAUCUUCAGGGGGGCAGGGGACCACCUGGUUGCCUGAAGAGGCAUGAACUGGCCCAGGUCAGAAAUAGAGCAGGUCCAAACUCCCACAUGCUGAUCAGUAGUGGAAUCAUGCCUGUGAAUAGCCACUGCACUCCAGCCACACAACAUGGGGAGGCCUCAU
Aotus nancymaae (Ma's night monkey) is the source of this 293-nucleotide unclassified non-coding RNA. It matches the Rfam family "Metazoan signal recognition particle RNA". From Rfam's summary of the family: The signal recognition particle (SRP) is a universally conserved ribonucleoprotein. The record is from Ensembl. Lineage: Eukaryota; Metazoa; Chordata; Mammalia; Primates; Aotidae.